This 409-nucleotide ribosomal RNA is filed under the name uncultured bacterium. Its description in RNAcentral is "bacterial SSU rRNA". It matches the Rfam family "Bacterial small subunit ribosomal RNA", at positions 402 to 809 of the family's 1533-position model. The record is from RNAcentral.
UGCAGGAAGAAGGCCUUCUGGGUUGUAAACUGCUUUUAUCAGGGAAGAAAACGCUCCUGCGGGAGUAACUGACGGUACCUGAUGAAUAAGCACCGGCUAACUCCGUGCCAGCAGCCGCGGUAAUACGGAGGGUGCAAGCGUUGUCCGGAUUUAUUGGGUUUAAAGGGUGCGUAGGCGGCCCGUUAAGUCAGUGGUGAAAGCCAACAGCUCAACUGUUGAACUGCCAUUGAUACUGACGGGCUUGAGUACAGACGAGGUAGGCGGAAUUGAAGAUGUAGCGGUGAAAUGCAUAGAUAUCUUCAAGAACACCGAUUGCGUAGGCAGCUUACUAGGCUGUAACUGACGCUGAGGCACGAAAGCGUGGGGAGCGAACAGGAUUAGAUACCCUGGUAGUCCACGCCGUAAACGA